Molecule: ribosomal RNA, 117 nt
Filed under: uncultured bacterium
Lineage: Bacteria
Description: partial 16S ribosomal RNA
Rfam family: Bacterial small subunit ribosomal RNA
Source: RNAcentral
CGUUCCCGGGCCUUGUACACACCGCCCGUCACACCACGAAAGCUGGUUGAACCAGAAGCCGUUGACCCAACCCGCAAGGGAGGGAGCCGUCCAAAGGUUCGGCCGGUGAUUGGGGUG